Molecule: long non-coding RNA, 416 nt
Filed under: Setaria viridis
Lineage: Eukaryota; Viridiplantae; Streptophyta; Magnoliopsida; Poales; Poaceae
Description: long non-coding RNA (SVIR_LNC005139)
Source: RNAcentral
AUCUUACUAUUACUAAUUGGAGGCUCCUUUUGAAGCCUUUAGGUGAAGCCACCUAGGAUUCCUAGGUGGACACUCUAGAAAAAGAGAGAAAUCCUAUAAAUUCUCACAAAAAAGCAAAACAUCCGACCAUCGAUCUAUAGAUUUAAAUCAUCAUAGCCAUUGAAUCUAUUAUGUUUUCUAAAAAAUUACCCACCUAUGCCAUUAUGAAAAUAGCCUAAAUUAACCCCUAAUUCUAUAUAUAAAUUACCCACCUCUGCCAUUAUAUAAAAUAAACUAAAGUAACCCCCUAAUCUUCAUCAAAAUUACCCACUUAUGCCAUUAUAAACAAUAUUUAAAAUAACCCCCUAAUUUGCAACUGAAUUGCCUACCACAAUUACUUAAAAAUUAAAAAACUUAAAGUAACCCCUUAAAUUUGC